GAUGAACGCUGACAGAAUGCUUAACACAUGCAAGUCAACUUGAACUUCGGUUUGGGUGGCGGACGGGUGAGUAACGCGUAAAUAACUUGCCUCACAGAUAGGGACAACAUUUGGAAACGAAUGCUAAUACCUGAUAUUAUGAUUAUAUGGCAUCGUAUAAAUAUGAAAGCUAUAUGCGCUGUGAGAGAGCUUUGCGUACCGUUAGCUAGUUGGAGAGGUAACGGCUCACCAAGGCGAGGAUGGGUAGCCGGCGCGAGAGGGUGAUCGGCCACAAGGGGACUGAGAGACGGCGCUUAGUACUACGGGAGGCAGCAGUGAGGAAUAUUGGACAAUGGACCAAGAGUCUGAUCCGGCAAUUCUGUGUGCACGAUUAAUUUUUUCGGAAUGUAAAUUGCUUACAGUUGGGAAGAAACAAAGGACGGUACCAACAGAAGAAGUGACGGCUAAUUACGU
RNAcentral lists this ribosomal RNA (453 nucleotides) under uncultured bacterium. RNAcentral describes it as "partial 16S ribosomal RNA". It matches the Rfam family "Bacterial small subunit ribosomal RNA", at positions 28 to 506 of the family's 1533-position model. The record is from RNAcentral.